RNAcentral lists this ribosomal RNA (253 nucleotides) under uncultured bacterium. RNAcentral describes it as "partial 16S ribosomal RNA". It matches the Rfam family "Bacterial small subunit ribosomal RNA", at positions 524 to 776 of the family's 1533-position model. The record is from RNAcentral.
UACGUAGGGUGCGAGCGUUACUCGGAAUUACUGGGCGUAAAGUGUGCGCAGGCGGCCGCGCAAGUCGAGUGUGAAAUCCCCGAGCUUAACUUGGGAAUUGCGCUCGAAACUACGUGGCUGGAGUGUGGCAGAGGAAGGUGGAAUUCCACGUGUAGCGGUGAAAUGCGUAGAUAUGUGGAGGAACACCGAUGGCGAAGGCAGCCUUCUGGGCCAACACUGACGCUCAUGCACGAAAGCGUGGGGAGCAAACAGG